CCCGGACCUUGUACACACCGCCCGUCAAGCGAUGGAAGCUGGGAGGACCUGAAGACAGUUGCUGUAAGGCGCUGUUUAGGGUAAAACCAGUGACUGGCGCU
RNAcentral lists this ribosomal RNA (101 nucleotides) under uncultured bacterium. Its description in RNAcentral is "partial 16S ribosomal RNA". It matches the Rfam family "Bacterial small subunit ribosomal RNA", at positions 1373 to 1482 of the family's 1533-position model. The record is from RNAcentral.